ACGAACGCUGGCGGCGUGCCUCAUACAUGCAAGUAGCACGCUGAAGGAGGAGCUUGCUCUUCUGGAUGAGUUGCGAACGGGUGAGUAACGCGUAGGUAACCUGCCUGGUAGCGGGGGAUAACUAUUGGAAACGAUAGCUAAUACCGCAUAACAGUAGAUGUUGCAUGACAUUUACUUAAAAGGUGCAAUUGCAUCACUACCAGAUGGACCUGCGUUGUAUUAGCUAGUUGGUGGGGUAACGGCUCACCAAGGCGACGAUACAUAGCCGACCUGAGAGGGUGAUCGGCCACACUGGGACUGAGACACGGCCCAGACUCCUACGGGAGGCAGCAGUAGGGAAUCUUCGGCAAUGGACGGAAGUCUGACCGAGCAACGCCGCGUGAGUGAAGAAGGUUUUCGGAUCGUAAAGCUCUGUUGUAAGAGAAGAACGAGUGUGAGAGUGGAAAGUUCACACUGUGACGGUAUCUUACCAGAAAGGGACGGCUAACUACGUG
Molecule: ribosomal RNA, 494 nt
Filed under: uncultured bacterium
Lineage: Bacteria
Description: partial 16S ribosomal RNA
Rfam family: Bacterial small subunit ribosomal RNA
Source: RNAcentral